GAGUAAGUAGCUUAGUUCGGUAGAGCAUUGGACUUUUAAUCCACAGGUCCUGGGUUCAAAUCCCAGUUUACUCA
This 74-nucleotide transfer RNA is filed under the name Guinardia delicatula. Its description in RNAcentral is "tRNA-Lys". It matches the Rfam family "tRNA". Rfam says of the family: Transfer RNA (tRNA) molecules are approximately 80 nucleotides in length. Lineage: Eukaryota; Bacillariophyta; Coscinodiscophyceae; Rhizosoleniales; Rhizosoleniaceae. The record is from RNAcentral.